ACGCUCGACACCUACGGGAGCAGCAGUGGGGAAUAUUGCACAAUGGGGGAAACCCUGAUGCAGCGACGCCGCGUGAGCGAAGAAGUAUUUCGGUAUGUAAAGCUCUAUCAGCAGGGAAGAAACUGACGGUACCUGACUAAGAAGCACCGGCUAAAUACGUGGCAGCAGCCGCGGUAAUCUGAGCGGGCUGGCAAGGC
This 197-nucleotide ribosomal RNA is filed under the name uncultured bacterium. RNAcentral describes it as "partial 16S ribosomal RNA". It matches the Rfam family "Bacterial small subunit ribosomal RNA", at positions 328 to 539 of the family's 1533-position model. The record is from RNAcentral.